Molecule: ribosomal RNA, 486 nt
Filed under: uncultured cyanobacterium
Lineage: Bacteria; Bacillati; Cyanobacteriota
Description: bacterial SSU rRNA
Rfam family: Bacterial small subunit ribosomal RNA
Source: RNAcentral
GGCUGUCGUCAGCUCGUGUCGUGAGAUGUUGGGUUAAGUCCCGCAACGAGCGCAACCCACGUCUUUAGUUGCCAGCAUUUAGUUGGGCACUCUAGAGAGACCGCCGGUGAUAAACCGGAGGAAGGUGUGGACGACGUCAAGUCAUCAUGCCCCUUACAUCCUGGGCUACACACGUACUACAAUGCUACGGACAAAGGGCAGCAAACUCGCGAGAGCUAGCAAAUCCCAUAAACCGUGGCUCAGUUCAGAUCGUAGGCUGCAACUCGCCUACGUGAAGGAGGAAUCGCUAGUAAUCGCAGGUCAGCAUACUGCGGUGAAUACGUUCCCGGGCCUUGUACACACCGCCCGUCACACCAUGGAAGUUGGCCACGCCCGAAGUCGUUACUCCAACCCUUGUGGAGGAGGAUGCCGAAGGUGGGGCUGAUGACUGGGGUGAAGUCGUAACAAGGUAGCCGUACCGGAAGGUGCGGCUGGAUCACCUCCUAA